CGAUUUAUGCGCCCGGAAGCCCUUUCAGCCUCACAGGCAUGUCCCCACCUGCCUCACAGCCGCCGACGCAUCUCACGGCGGGGGUCUAAUUGCGUGUGCAUAUGGAUGCUCCUAUUCCCCGCCGCCUUUCUAGCAACUAGUAAUGUUAUGAUGCAUCGUUGGUCCGGCGUACGACGGCGCCUGGUGCGAUUUAUGCGCCCGGAAGCCCUUUCAGCCUCACAGGCAUGUCCCCACCUGCCUCACAGCCGCCGACGCAUCUCACGGCGGGGGUCUAAUUGCGUGCGCGUAUGGAUGCUCCUAUUCCUGCCGCCUUUCUAGCAGCUAGUUACUGUUAUGAUGCAUCGUUGGUCCGGCGUACGACGGCGCCUGGUGCGAUUUAUGCGUCCGGAAGCCCUUUCAGCCUCACAGGCAUGACCCCACCUGCCUCACAGCCGCCGACGCAUCUCACGGCGGGGGUCUAAUUGCGUGCGCGUAUGGAUGCUCCUAUUCCUGCCGCCUUUCUAGCAGCUAGUUACUGUUAUGAUGCAUCGUUGGUCCGGCGUACGACGGCGCCUGGUGCGAUUUAUGCGUCCGGAAGCCCUUUCAGCCUCACAGGCAUGACCCCACCUGCCUCACAGCCGCCGACGCAUCUCACGGCGGGGGUCUAAUUGCGUGCGCGUUCGCAUGCGGCAUGUCCCGCCACCUUUCUGGCAUCUAGUUGAUGGUAUGAUGAAUCGUUGUGCGGUGUAGGGCUGCGCCUGAUGCGAUUUCGUUUGCGGAAGCCCCCCCUGAGUGCUGCCAAGCAUGUUAUUCUCUCAUGAGACUGCGUGAAGGUUUACGAACUGAGUAUGCGACCAACACAUAAAACAUCGCAUGCGAAUUGUUAUGUCAUGCGAUUCAUCAAAGGUAAAUCGUGUGUGCUUGUUGUGUGUUAGCUUAGGCCGCAUUAAGCUUGACGCAACGAGCCUUCAUACGCUUGAAACGCAACAUUUGUUUGCAUGCGAAUUGCGUUGCGAUAUGUGUGCGUUUGGUAAGUGUUAGGCUGCGUUAAGCUUUACGCAAUGAGCCUUUAUACGCAUGAAACGCAGCAUGUAUUAGCAUGCGAAAUGCGUUGCGAAAUGUGUGCGUAAGGUGAGUGUUAGGCCGCGUUAAGCUUUACGCAAUCAGCCUUCAUACGCAUGAUACGCAACAUGCAUUCGCAUGCAAAUAGCCUUGCGGACUGUGUGCGUUUGAUGUGCGAGUGGACGCGAAUUGCUUUACGCAUUGUCUCCCCACACGCACGAAUCGCAAUAUGGAAUCGCAUGCGUAUCGCCUUGCUACACAUGCGCGUAUGCUUCGCGUUUCAACAUACGCACGGAUAAAUUGUUCAAGUCGAUCAAACGACGCAAGUUUAUUUGCAAAUAAACCUUUACAAUCUGAAAAUUAUAAAAUUUUAAAAAACUUGGCCAGAAGGGCCGAUUUCCGCUUUUCCAUAGCCGUUGUGCGUUAGCUCUUUGCGUUACAAAAGCAUGCUCAUUCGCACCUAACGCUAAGAUUCGCACCGUUACGCGAACUAACGCGAGCUAACGCGGACUUAACGCGAUCACCCGUCGUCAUAGUGGUUGCGCCUGCGAUCGGCCAUAGCCGCAGACGCGGACGCCGCAAAUGCUAUCUGUUUACACCCUACAGGCGUGGUUCACGUACGUAUUCGCGUAUAUAGAAUAUCAUAAUAGAAAUUAUGCGUGUUCCUUGCGACUUGCGAGUUGCAAGUUGCGACUUGCAAGUUGCGACUUGCGACUUAAGCAGUACGCAAGAGUGCACUUCGCCUCGCACCCGCAAUUUGUUUUGCAAGCCGCCAUAAGAUUGUGGAGUGGCAAAUGCUUUCAGGCCGGUCUAUUAUACCAUGGCACGCGUCUAUUGUGCCAUCUAUAUACCAAUCGAUACAUGUAUUAUUGUACAAUAAUUCUACCAAAAAUCCAUUCCUCGGUCCUUUUUGAUAUAUGAUUACCCUAUAUAUAUGUAGACCAUGAAACAUUUACCGAUGCGUUUAGGUGAUACAGAUUACAGGUGCUAACCCAAGCAUUUCAUGUGCACACGCACCUGGAAUUUUUGUAUAAAAACAAAUUGAAGUAACAGUUCUUAAUGGGGCCACAGAGGACUUCAUCCAGCCGUUGGCAUUGAAGCCUAGACAUGCUGGCAACUUUGCACAGUCGGUAGCAGCUGCUGCAGCGGAACCAGAGUUGCUCAGGUCGUCCUUAUCGUGGUCGGUGUCCGGAAGUGCAAUGUAGCCAUAAAAACUUGGACAUGCUGUGGAAUCAGGAAAGGGAAGUGCCAAACAUUGUGUAUGACUCAUUAAGCUACCAAAAGGCAUUGAUGCUGGGAGUUUCUGCAAGGUGCAAUAAGUUGUACUUAUGCAUGAACUACUUACCUUGCAAUGUACACAUCCACACUUGCUAUUUAAAUUUAUUUACUAUUCUGGCCCUGUUCACUGCUGUAGCGGGAACAGGAACAGGAAAGGGCCUGCACAAGCUACGUCAUAUGCAUGUCACACUGCGGCACUACUGGAAACAUAUUUAUUCUNNNNNNNNNNNNNNNNNNNNNNNNNNNNNNNNNNNNNNNNNNNNNNNNNNNNNNNNNNNNNNNNNNNNNNNNNNNNNNNNNNNNNNNNNNNNNNNNNNNNNNNNNNNNNNNNNNNNNNNNNNNNNNNNNNNNNNNNNNNNNNNNNNNNNNNNNNNNNNNNNNNNNNNNNNNNNNNNNNNNNNNNNNNNNNNNNNNNNNNNNNNNNNNNNNNNNNNNNNNNNNNNNNNNNNNNNNNNNNNNNNNNNNNNNNNNNNNNNNNNNNNNNNNNGCUACUGGGCUAGACUUGGAGGGUCCGACCGGGGCAACUCGUUGCUGUGGACUUGUAGGCAAGUCAAGUAGGGCUAUGGAAUGCUAGGACAAUGUUAUUAUGUUUGUGUUAUAGGCUUGGGUAGGAAUUCUUAAGCAAUACGUUGAGUGGCUUUUCCGCCGGCGGGAGGACGACAAUCCCACGCAAACAGGACGGAUGUUCCGAAUGUUGCUUACAUUCAUGUUGUCGAAGCUCGCGACGACGGCUCUGGACAGGACGGAUGUCAAGUGUGCGUUGGUGGACGUGAUGGCAACGUAGUGAAGGACACGGACGCGCAUGCACAGGCCAUGGAAUGGUAUGUCUAAAUCAUGGAUGGCGACGUUCAACUCUCAGAAUGGUGAUUUCUGCCUUUGGGUUCAAUUCUGAACCUGGAAUGCUGCUGGCUCUGCCCGUACCGGAAAAGUGCUUUCCGGUACGGCGGUGUCAGGAGGUGGUAUCUACGUCGUCUUAGGGGCAACCCUAAGACUAAGGGGAUGAACGAAUAGAGAUAUACUUAGGGUUUCUUGGCUGCAGCAAGUGUUGUCCUGGGCGCGACGUUGAUGGCCUGAUGCCGACGCGACCUCCUUUACGACAAUGCUAGGCAAACGCAGCGGAUGUUCAUGAAUUACUUAAGCGUUCAUAUUACUCGUCACAGCUUCAACGGCACUGUACUGGGCGGAUGUAAGAUGUGCGUUGGUGGACGCGAUGGCCUUACGAAGGGGGAGAAAGACGCUUAGGAGAUGCUUGGAUUGUUAUGUACAAGUCACAGACGGGGACGUUUAACUCUAUGAAUGCUGAGUUUUAGCUACUAGUCGGGUUUUUUGAACUUCGCUGUUGUUGGUUCCGCCCGUACAGGAAAAGUGUCUUCUGAUACGGCGGUCACAGCAGGUAGUAUCCGCGUCGACUUGUAUGCAAACCAAAUACAACGAAACCAGGGGAUGAUAUGACAGUUUUGGAAUGCUUGUUUCUUGGCCGCAAGCAGCAGCAUACUUAAAUCGCGUUGGGCCAUUUGCCCAGGCUGCCGNNNNNNNNNNNNNNNNNNNNNNNNNNNNNNNNNNNNNNNNNNNNNNNNNNAACCAUUUUGUAAACACAGACCAUUAUGCCAAAUCUUUGCUGUAAUGCCUCUGGCCCAGAUGACAUUGCAUGUGCAACAUGUCAAAUAAACUCUGCUGCCCUUCUGCAGUGCACUUCAAUCCUAUAUUUGUACAUAAUAUUCGUGUAAUAUGAAAGGUGACUUCUUGCCAGCAGGGUAAUGAUCGGAGACCUACUUAUGGCAUCCCAUGGAUUAUGCGGCAUGUAUCCGCAUCAUUUGUUCUGUGUAAUAGAAUUAUUUUAAAAGAAAAAUCUCGAAGAGCUAUCCUGUUGGUAUUUCAUGGCUGGACUUCCAGUGCUCCAUCCGUACCCAGUGCGGGGCCCGCCCGUCGCCUGCGUAGCUUCGCAAAAUUUCGCAAACAUUCCUCGUUCACCGGCAGGCGCCCUAAGUGCUACAAAGGUCGUAACACAUCCAGCUUCAGAAAAAUAGCAUGUAGACGUGUUGUUGGACUGCCACUGAACAAAAUCUUAAACAAACGGACCUUCGUCCAACUCUCGACCAUCAGAAACUGUCAUGUCGCGAAGGCGCUUGUCUCAAUAACCACUUGUUAGCACGUGUCAUUAGCUCACUGUUAAUAAAUCAUUCUCAUUUCGCUUCCUACCACCUUUCAACUAUACCACGUCUGCCACCGCCGCGGCCAUGGAGCCAGCAGUGGAAUUAUUUACCCGCUUAUUUACGGCCGCGCUGGCNGCGAUUACGAAUUGGCGACCNNNNNNNNNNNNNNNNNNNNNNNNNNNNNNNNNNNNNNNNNNNNNNNNNNCAAAUACAACGAAACCAGGGGAUGAUAUGACAGUUUUGGAAUGCUUGUUUCUUGGCCGCAAGCAGCAGCAUACUUAAAUCGCGUUGGGCCAUUUGCCCAGGCUGCCGCAAGGACGACAAGCCAGGCUAAUGCAGCUGGUGUCCAUGAAGGGUUCAUUGCGUGCUGAAUAUGAAAGAUUGCCACAAAGACUCUUGCCCUGACGGAUGUGCAUUGUAAGGAAGGAAACGGAUGAAGAGUUAGCUCCGCGGUGCAUGGAACGCUAAGUAAGGAUGAUGGACUGUAAGCGUUAAUAUUCGGAGCAGGGAUUUCUGUCUUUUCGCUCGGUUCUGAAAGUCUAACGUCGAUUGCGCAUCCCGUUUGUUCGGGAACGUACUUAGAUCUGAUACGGCUCACCCGAUUGGCAAUAAUGCUUUCUAUGCUUGCAUAACCAUUUUGUAAACACAGACCAUUAUGCCAAAUCUUUGCUGUAAUGCCUCUGGCCCAGAUGACAUUGCAUGUGCAACAUGUCAAAUAAACUCUGCUGCCCUUCUGCAGUGCACUUCAAUCCUAUAUUUGUACAUAAUAUUCGUGUAAUAUGAAAGGUGACUUCUUGCCAGCAGGGUAAUGAUCGGAGACCUACUUAUGGCAUCCCAUGGAUUAUGCGGCAUGUAUCCGCAUCAUUUGUUCUGUGUAAUAGAAUUAUUUUAAAAGAAAAAUCUCGAAGAGCUAUCCUGUUGGUAUUUCAUGGCUGGACUUCCAGUGCUCCAUCCGUACCCAGUGCGGGGCCCGCCCGUCGCCUGCGUAGCUUCGCAAAAUUUCGCAAACAUUCCUCGUUCACCGGCAGGCGCCCUAAGUGCUACAAAGGUCGUAACACAUCCAGCUUCAGAAAAAUAGCAUGUAGACGUGUUGUUGGACUGCCACUGAACAAAAUCUUAAACAAACGGACCUUCGUCCAACUCUCGACCAUCAGAAACUGUCAUGUCGCGAAGGCGCUUGUCUCAAUAACCACUUGUUAGCACGUGUCAUUAGCUCACUGUUAAUAAAUCAUUCUCAUUUCGCUUCCUACCACCUUUCAACUAUACCACGUCUGCCACCGCCGCGGCCAUGGAGCCAGCAGUGGAAUUAUUUACCCGCUUAUUUACGGCCGCGCUGGCAGCGAUUACGAAUUGGCGACAGAAUCAGAAUGUGGCGAAGAUGCUCGUCUUCAAGCUUGCCUGCUUCAUUGCCUCCCUUCCUUCACAUCCACGGGUGAAACUCGUCUUCCAAGGGCAUCACGGUCUGGCACCAGUCGAUGCGUCCCCAACAAGCAUAUAUGAUAUGGAAUUCAAAGAUGGCAACGGCAAAGUAAGGACGCUGCUCGUCUUUUUGCUGUCAUGAAGCCCGUGACGGGAGACACCUUCCAGGCCUCCUCAAUCACAGCUUCCUGUGAGGGAAGAUUCAACCCGCGGAUCUCGUUGAGGACGUACAAUCUGCCGCCGUCNNNNNNNNNNNNNNNNNNNNNNNNNNNNNNNNNNNNNNNNNNNNNNNNNNUGUCUCCCGUCACGGGCUUCAUGACAGCAAAAAGACGAUCAGCGUCCUUACUUUGCCGUUGCCAUCUUUGAAUUCCAUAUCAUAUAUGCUUGUUGGGGACGCAUCGACUGGUGCCAGACCGUGAUGCCCUUGAAAGACGAGUUUCACCCGUGGAUGUGAAGGAAGGGAGGCAAUGAAGCAGGCAAGCUUGAAGACGAGCAUCUUCGCCACAUUCUGAUUCUGUCGCCAAUUCGUGAUCGCUGCCAGCGCGGCCGUAAAUAAGCGGGUAAGGUGUAUUCAUUGUCAAACCUUGUGUAAGGGAUGUUGCACUGUCACUGUGUCGUGCCUGAGCAUACUUCGUUUUCCUUGUCCAUACAUGGUGAGCAUUGAUCCCCGUGAUUUGUGAUGCUGCCUGCAGGAUGGGGCGUCACUACCUGGGCCCAGUGGAAUACCUGCAGUACAUCAGGGAGAACAAGCAGGUGUGGACCAUGGUAGGCUAUAGUGGCAUACAGGAGUACAUGUGAUGGAUGUCUUUACAAUUAUCCCUUGAUACACCCAGGAUACUACAGAAUGUCAGUGCAGCAGACUCAUGGUAUGGAAGUCAACAUUUUCAUUCACGGUAUACACGUCGGGAAGCUGGCCCUGUGGGUGGCCAUUGCAUUGCCAGAGGACCAAUACCCCACAAAAGCAUGCAAGGACUAUGCCAGAGGCAGGGUUGUAAAAAGUACCUGACCAUGUAUAUGAUGUAGCACCUCAUGUCCCUUAGUAGCAACUUUUGCCUGUGCUCACCAUAUAUGACACUCUUACUGACCAACAGUGUCAUGUUUGUGACAUGCGUUAGCCCAUAUCAAUGACAGCAAUGCCAUGGACAUGAUUUUGCCUGCUGAUGCGUAUGCAGCAGGCUUUGGAUGGUGGACCUGCAGCUGAGCUGGGCGCCACGAUGGAUGGUGGCCUGGUGAGUAGCAGCUGCAGCGGCAGCGGCAGCGGCAGCGGCAGCAGCAGCAGCAGCGACAGCGGCAGCAGCAGCAGCAGCGGCAGCGGCAACGGCAGCAGCAGCAGCAGCGACAGCGGCAGCAGCAGCAGCAGCGGCAGCGGCAACGGCAGCAGCAGCGGAAGCGGAAGCGGCAGUGGCAACCGCAGCCGCAGCCGCAGCCACAGCCACAGCCGCAGCCGCAGCCGCAGCCACCGGCACAGGCACAGCCGCAGACGCAGCCGCAGCAGCAGCCGCAGCCGCAGCUGCAGCCACAGCCGCAGCCGCAGCCGCAGCCACAGACACAGCUGCAGCCAUGGCAGCAGUGGCAGCAGCAGCAGGCACAGCAGCGGCAGCAGCCGUGACAACAGCAGCAAUAGCAGUGACAGCCGUAGUGGCAUCGGUGGUGGCAGUGGUGGCAGUGCUUCUGAACAGCAGCAAGCAGAGGCAGCUGCAGAUAAGACUCCGUCCAAGCAGGAGGAGCUAGCACAUGCAGAGUUGGGCCAAUGCAGACAAGAGCAACCUGCUGUAGCUGCAGCUGCACCAUCCUCAGAGCAGCAAUGCAGCUCGUGCCCAGCCUCCCACUAUAGCUGUGAUUCAUCCAAGCUAGCCUUUAAGCUUCGCGCCUGGUAUGUGUGUUUGAAGCUAUGUAUGUGCUGCAGAUGUUGCUGUAACCAUCUAAGAUUUUAUAUGCCGCUACACGCCUAACCCACGUUGCACGUAUCAACGUACCUGUGUACCAGAGAGCACAGGUACUCAGGGACAAGAAACAUGCCAUCGGCCGGUCAGGUCUCAGCCUUCCUUGGAUACAGGCCAUGGAAAAGNNNNNNNNNNNNNNNNNNNNNNNNNNNNNNNNNNNNNNNNNNNNNNNNNNNNNNNNNNNNNNNNNNNNNNNNNNNNNNNNNNNNNNNNNNNNNNNNNNNNNNNNNNNNNNNNNNNNNNNNNNNNNNNUGAGGACGUACAAUCUGCCGCCGUGGUGGAGAAGCCUGUUAAUUUUUUCUCGGUCCGAUUUCUUGGUGAGGCCCAACAGGUGCCCCAGCACAGUGACCUGCAGGCAACAUUUCAAAGGGAGUAGCCUAUAUGAGGUGUCUCCCGUCACGGGCUUCAUGACAGCAAAAAGACGAGCAGCGUCCUUACUUUGCCGUUGCCAUCUUUGAAUUCCAUAUCAUAUAUGCUUGUUGGGGACGCAUCGACUGGUGCCAGACCGUGAUGCCCUUGAAAGACGAGUUUCACCCGUGGAUGUGAAGGAAGGGAGGCAAUGAAGCAGGCAAGCUUGAAGACGAGCAUCUUCGCCACAUUCUGAUUCUGUCGCCAAUUCGUGAUCGCUGCCAGCGCGGCCGUAAAUAAGCGGGUAAGGUGUAUUCAUUGUCAAACCUUGUGUAAGGGAUGUUGCACUGUCACUGUGUCGUGCCUGAGCAUACUUCGUUUUCCUUGUCCAUACAUGGUGAGCAUUGAUCCCCGUGAUUUGUGAUGCUGCCUGCAGGAUGGGGCGUCACUACCUGGGCCCAGUGGAAUACCUGCAGUACAUCAGGGAGAACAAGCAGGUGUGGACCAUGGUAGGCUAUAGUGGCAUACAGGAGUACANNNNNNNNNNNNNNNNNNNNNNNNNNNNNNNNNNNNNNNNNNNNNNNNNNGACAACAGCAGCAAUAGCAGUGACAGCCGUAGUGGCAUCGGUGGUGGCAGUGGUGGCAGUGCUUCUGAACAGCAGCAAGCAGAGGCAGCUGCAGAUAAGACUCCGUCCAAGCAGGAGGAGCUAGCACAUGCAGAGUUGGGCCAAUGCAGACAAGAGCAACCUGCUGUAGCUGCAGCUGCACCAUCCUCAGAGCAGCAAUGCAGCUCGUGCCCAGCCUCCCACUAUAGCUGUGAUUCAUCCAAGCUAGCCUUUAAGCUUCGCGCCUGGUAUGUGUGUUUGAAGCUAUGUAUGUGCUGCAGAUGUUGCUGUAACCAUCUAAGAUUUUAUAUGCCGCUACACGCCUAACCCACGUUGCACGUAUCAACGUACCUGUGUACCAGAGAGCACAGGUACUCAGGGACAAGAAACAUGCCAUCGGCCGGUCAGGUCUCAGCCUUCCUUGGAUACAGGCCAUGGAAAAGGUUAAGAAUCUGCAAGGUCGGUGUAUGCAAGCUUGUAUUUUCCCAAAAUGUUGACCCAAUGGCAUCACACUAUAUGCAUGUCUUGCAUUUUUUUGCAAACAGAUGAAGCAGCCUGGGGCAUGGAGGGUGCAAAGUACCUGCAGCAGUGCCUUACAGAGCAGCUGGUGGCUGCCUGGGGCCCCAGGCAGCCCCCAGACACCCCCGGGGGUGUCUGCACAGGAUCUGGAUCAUGCCAAGGUAGGCUCGCUGGUUACAUAGGUUAAUGAUACAGUGCUAGCAGGUUUAGCAGUGAUAAUUUAGCUAGUUGUUGACUAUGCUAUGCAUGUGAACUUCACACUUGUAGGUUGUCAUCAGGCGUAUGGGAUGUCUUUACUACGCCCCACUUCACACCGUCACUUACAUCCGUGGUGGCGGCCUGGCUAAGUCCCUUUUCAAGACCCAGGCAUGCCCAGUGUGCGACAUUUCAAUCCUGACAAGGACACCGCAGGGGCUAUGGUGUGUGGGACGGACGGGUAGGCAAAUGGAGUUUGGUUUCGCAUUCGUUGUGUGUAUGUACUUCAGUUCUCUGGAGUUUGCUCAUAUGGGCAUGGCCCUUGUGUGCAGGUGCAGCUACUGCUCAGCGUACUCUACAAAGACAAGGUAGCAGAUGUGGUGUAUGUUAAGUGGUUUGAUGCUCCAGAAGAUGAAUGGAACCGUGAACUGAAUCUCCGUCCGCUGCGAUGGCAGAGGUAAUAAAAGUAGUUUACACACAGUCGUAAUUUCAGUUGUAUACCUCCCUCUCUUGCACUAACACUAACCAUUGAUUGUCCACACAACCUCACUUCCAGGGUGACUGGAAAACCAGCAGCAGCUUAUGGGUGUAUCCCAUUUGAGACCAUUAUCGAGAGAGUGUGCAUUGUUCGGAUCUCCCAAGUUAAAGUCAAACGUACACGUGGUUCCUCCAGCAGAAGCAUGGAUGAUGUGGAAGAGUCCAUGGGCAAUCCAGUUCCCACAGCACAAUUUGUGCUCAACGAGCUCAAUGGCGGCCCACCCCAUGGCCUUUUGCCAGUCGUGUUGGAGGAUAUUGCUGAAGAAGUCAGGCAGCAGUCUCAAGAGAGUGAAAAGCGAAGCUUGCGCCCAUCAGAAGUGCGGGCACUAUUGGACAAGCUUAUGGCCAUCGAGGAAUGGGAGCAAUGGGAGUCUGGUUGCGUGUGGUCAAAAGAUGAUGACACAGAUGAAGUUUCAUCAGACGAGGCGUAGCAAAGACGUCCUGGAUAAUAACGACCGGGUAGAGGAGGAUUGAUCAAUUGGGGCUCAUGGGAGUAGGAAAUGACUGUUUGCGUUGUGCUGAUAGUGUCGGAGAAUUUAUUCUGUUAAGUGUUUUGGUUGUGUUUUGGAGUUGCAGCAUUAAUAGGCCAGAUAACAUGUGGAUUAUUCAUUUAGUAAAGCAGACUGAGGGAUUGUGGGCUGAGAGCUGAGAUUCCUUGUGUGAUGUGUGAUAGUAACGUAUGAAGAGUAUGUGAAAAUUGUAAUCCCCUGAGCUUCUAUGCAUCCCAUAUAUUUCUGUACACAAAUGACACAUGUAAACAACAUCCUGGCAAGUAUACAGCAUAGCCUAAACAAGGUCAGGUAUAGGCUGUCAUGUAAACAUGAAGGCCUAUUAUGUGAUGCCUAUAGCAGUCUUGUAAUAGGCACUCGUGUACACACGCACCUGUAUAGGCACUGUUGUUUACAACAUCACAUGUAGACACAUCUGUAUACCAGUCAUGUUUACCACAUAGCCUAAACAAGGUCAGGUAUAGGCUGUCAUGUAAAGGCCAUUGCAUAUUACGUGAUGCCUAUAGCGGUCUUGUAAUAGGCACUCAUGUACACACGCAGCUGUAUAGGCACUGUUGUUUACAACAUCACCUGUAGACGCAUGCAUAUACCUGGCAAGUAUACACCACAGCCUAAACAAGGUCAGGUAUAGGCUGUCAUGUAAAGGCCAUUGCAUAUUACGUGAUGCCUAUAGCGGUCUUGUAAUAGGCGCUCAUGUACACACGCACCUGUAUAGGCACUGUUGUUUACAACAUCACGUGUACACAUAUCUGUAUAGCUUGGAAGUAUACCGCAUAGCAUAAAGAAGGUCAGGUAUUCUACAUAUAUACAGGGUCCUCUAUUAGGCAAACAUGUACAUAUGUCCCUCUUUAGGUCUGGGCCUUUAUUUCUCGUAUAAUACGUGUACACCUAACUGGCCUAUAUACCUUUCACCUAUUUUCCCGAAUAUCUCGCCUAUACAAUGCCCGAAAAAAUACAGACGUACGUCUCUGUGCACCUGCGUGCGUGUCACGACUUUUGUUGUCAAGCUGCCUAUGUUUCGUUGUCAAGGACUUGGUCUUCUUUGGGAGUUAUUGAUCACACCUGCGUGCGUUUAUCUUUGCCCGUCUUUCACGCCAGGGAGUAUUGCAGUCGUUUCAAGCCCGGCACAGGCCUUUUUCUUCCGUUUAUUAGGGACUUUUCUACGGUUGUUUUCUGUUUCCUCCCUUUGGAAGGGGGAUCAUCUCUUGCUGGCGUUAAUAGACGAUCCGGCAGGUUAAGCAGCUGCUUUUCUAUCAGAGGCCGCGGCUCAUUUCUUGCCGUUCGAUUACGAGGGUGCAUUUUUGCGCUUAUUUCGUUCUUGUGGCGAGGCGGCUCGCCAACCGGUAGAGAAGGACGUCCAUAGCUAUGACCUAGCGGUUGUCUCGCACCUCCGCUUUCCUCGGUUCAAAAACACGCCAACACACGAUCAGGCUCUCCUCUGUAGCAACCUCUUCUCUCCAGUUUCGUCUUGCUUACACAGUUUGUCUCUCUUCGCCUUGCUCCGCAGUCGCAUAAGUGACAGCACAACCUCAACUACGUCAUGGCCGACGCUGAUGUGGACGCUUUCCUCAGCCUGAUCGCACUGCACUGGCCGACCAGGAUUGGUGGGCCAGGACCACCACUGACUCUUUGUUCACGGAGUCAUGAUGUUGGGCCGGGCUGUGGACCUGUUCCUGCCGGGCUCCAAUGGCAACGCGGCCCCAAAAGGUGCAGCAGCAUGGGCAACCCUGGCGCUCCUCAUUGAUUUCUCCGGCCCCAGCAAAGCACGCAUCCGUGUCCCUGCUGAUCUGGUCACCCGCCACCCGCAGAUCUAGCCGCACGGGCAGGGGCCUUGUUGGGGCACCUGAAGGACUGCAUCACCACAGACCUCCAAGCGCUUGCCGCGCAGUUGGUGCAGGAGGCACCAGAAUCACUGGCGGCAGGACCACCAAGGAGUACGCUGCCACAUGGCGCCAGUUCUUCAGCUGGUGGGAGGCACACAAUUUUCCGGGAGACAUCUACUCCACCCCGGGGGAGCUGGUAGCCCUCUACGUGCUGGCCUUACUAAACAAGUCCAAGGCAAACGGUGUUGGGCCUGGCCGCGUUCGCCUCCCAAACGUGGCCAUAAGCACUUAUUUCCGCAUGGCAGGAAAGGCAGCCCCCACAGAACACACAGCCUGCAGCAUAGUCCGCACUUUAGCGGAAAAGCGGCUCCAUAGUCGACCGCUGCAGUGUGAUGCCUUGGAGCCGGAAGACAUUGCAGCGCUGGCUCGCCUAGUGUAGGGCCCCAAGGCGCGUCUAGACUACCUGAUGAUGGUGGCUGCGGUGGCUAUCAUGUUUGCCGGCUUCUUCCGGUUCAAUGCUGCUGCUUGAAUUUGCGUGCAUGAGGACUUGCUGUUGAUUUCUGCAUCCCACAUGGAAAUUUUCAUUCCUGGUAAAUUUACCUUUAAAGGAGCACUAUUUAGAGCUGUAUUCUAGUCACGUCAGGUCAUCAAUAAAGACUGUAAUCCUUAACUGCGGUAGGCGGUGGCGGGCUUUCUGGAGGUGGUAGCCAGAUGGUGCCCGUGAAUUUUAGGGGAUGACGACGACCACCGGUAGCUGUUCAAGAUAAUUUCAGAUAACUUCAAGAUCAUUUCAUUUAUUUAAUGAAAUACAGGAGCAAAAGAAAUACAACACAGUAUAUAUCUACCAGGGCACUAUGUAGUAGCUAGCUGGCCACUGAAAAGGGCUCUCGAGCUAGCUGUUGGUUAAGUGCUUCACCUGCAUUUGUAGUCGAUAUGUGUGCCGUACUGUGUACCAGCUAGUACAUAUAUGUAUACCGUAUAUGACGACGUUAUAUCACGACUUUUUCAGAAAAGUAUCGAUUGCUGGAUGCAGAACCCGUGAUAUGCACAGACUAUGAUAACUAUCCCUCCUCCAGCUUCAGGUGGCGUCCUCAACCCAGGUCAAUCUCAGGGUCCGGACCCUGGAUCCCCAGGGACCCAUAGGUGCACCUAUGACACGUGGUGUCAGCACGUGCACCCAUAGGACAACCAGAGGUCACUGGGCCUGCCAGCUCCCGCCAGACCUCAUCAGACAGGAUUUGAACCUGCAGCUGGAUUCGACACAGCUGCUUCGAAGUCAGAACUAGGAUACCUGCUCGGUAACAAAUGUUUUCUCCAGACUUUUUAGAAAAAACCGAUGGGGGGAAGCAAAUUCCGUGAUCUGCAAAAACAAAACCUGGGCAUAUACUCCAAACACUACAGAUGUCUGAAGAUUUAUGUAGUGUAAAUGCUAUCAGGCCUGUCUGGUGGUGGUGGUGUUGUGGCAUACUUGCAUAUUUACCUUAGGAAUUUCCCCGAGACUCUGGCACUUCGCCACUUGGCAUUAUCUUCACUCUUACUUGGUUAACCAUUGGGCACUUGCCUAUCUUUUAUCACGCGUGAUAAUGGGUUAUAGCGCUCUUGCUACAACCGUGACACUUGUCACUGCUAGACCCACUUGGGUUACGACUGACGACUAUAUUCUCGGAUCAUACAGAUUGCUGUACAAUUCAUCCUUAACGCAGAGGCAUUUAGCCUCCAUCCAUUCACUAAUCGGUAGUUUUCACUACCACAGUGGAAGUGGAUACAACACGUGGCGUCUUUGCACCACGGAGUGUGGGGUUAGGAGUCUUAGCUGCAGGGCCGGGAUCACCGGAGCUGCAGCGCCGGAUCGUUAAGCCCUUCACGAAUAUAUUUUGUAGUCAAUAUGUAAGAAGGGAUCAGCUCACCUGGCAUCCCCCUGAGUACAGGGCACUCCCCUGUACUCAGGGGGAUGCCAGGGGAGCUGAUCCCUUCUUACACAUUGCAGUACUGUACCAAGUACAACACAUUUGGUACCUAUACGUCUGUAAAUUUACAGACAGCGUUGUCUUCAAAUUUUAAAGUUAACUUUAAAAUUGUGGAGUGGCAAAUGCUUUCAGGCCGGUCUAUUAUACCAUGGCACACGUCUAGACCAUGCCAUGCACAAUAUAUCUACUGUGCCAUCUAUAUACCAAUCGAUACAAUAAUUCUACCAAAAAUCCAUUCCUCGGUCCUUUUUGAUAUAUGAUUACCCUAUAUGUAGACCAUGAAACAUUUACCGAUGCGUUUGGUGAUACAGAUUACAGGUGCUAACCCAAGCAUUUCAUGUGCACACGCACCUGGAAUUUUUGUAUAAAAACAAAUUGAAGUAACAGUUCUUAAUGGGGCCACAGAGGACUUCAUCCAGCCGUUGGCAUUGAAGCCUAGACAUGCUGGCAACUUUGCACAGUCGGUAGCAGCUGCUGCAGCGGAACCAGAGUUGCUGAGGUCAUCCUUAUCGUGGUCGGUAUCCGGAAGUGCAAUGUAGCCAUAAAAACUUGGACAUGCUGUGGAAUCAGGAAAGGGAAGUGCCAAACAUUGUGUAUGACUCAUUAAGCUACCAAAAGGCAUUGAUGCUGGGAGUUUCUGCAAGGUGCAAUAAGUUGUACUUAUGCAUGAACUACUUACCUUGCAAUGUACACAUCCACACUUGCUAUUUAAAUUUAUUUACUAUUCUGGCCCUGUUCACUGCUGUAGCGGGAACAGGAACAGGAAAGGGCCUGCACAAGCUACGUCAUAUGCAUGUCACACUGCGGCACUACUUGGAAACAUAUUUAUUCUGUUACUUAAAAGCUUUUGAGUAGCACUCUUAAGAGUGCCAGCAUAUAACACGUUCUCCUGGUGCUGCUCAACACAACUUUAGUAAGUACACACAUUAUUAGUUCAGUCUGAGUGCUGGGGUGCAUGGUCCUGGACGUUCGCUACAGUGAAGGUUGUUGGAACAUGUAAUAUCUGGUGAUAACAGCGCCUAACCAGGUGCCGGUGAGAGUUUGUUAACCUAAACGCAGAUGCAGCUAACCACCAUAUGAGCACUGUUUAGACAUGUUGCAGGCUGACCAUCCAAGAGAGGCCUUUUUGCAACACAGCUGACAUUUGUCACCCAGUAUUGCCACGUGCUGAUGAAUGUGGUUCGUCCAUGUCUAUCUUUAAACGACCUCAAGCAAUGGAAAAUGGAACCAAGAAACCGUAACAGGCUGUCAUCUGGUGUAGAUAAUUAUCUUUAUAAAGGCCUCUCGAGAUGCUGGACUGGUCGAAUGCUUUGUGUGUAUUUGUAGAUUAUAUGCGUGCUGUACUGUGUACAAAAUACUACAUGUAUAAAUGUAUACAUUUGGUGAAAGUAAGACGUACUAAUCUUGUCUGUAUAUCCUGCCAGGAUAUCACUUAACCAGUAUUUUUUCAUUUUAGCCUGUCAAUUUUCCAGUCCGACCGGAGGAAUAGGUUUUUUGUCACGGGAAUAAAUGUGUUCCGAAUCUGUAAGGUGCUGGGGGGGCCUACACGGCCCCCAGGCCUAGGGGCCCUCCGAUGAGUUAUAGUUUAGUUCGUACAAACACAGGGUUCGGGGAAUGCCACAACGCGCCCACACCACAAUCUCUCCAUAGAUGUGUCUCUUGCACGCCAGGAAGCGGGGCGCACACUUGGACGCUUUGACAGGAACCCCGAUUGCAUGGGUGACUGCUCUUGCAGAGCCCAACCAAACACAGACCAGUUAACCCCUACUCAAGCAAUGAUCGAAUAGAGUUCUUCACUAUCGUUCGUUUUGCAUCACAUUGAAAGAUAACACGGCACGACUUUCCAGAUUGCAACAGUCAUGAUGCAUAGCAGCAAUGAACCAGAACCGCCAAACGCAAUCUCUGCGGUUGGUUGCAGCCCCUGCUGUUGAUGCUGCACACUAGUUAGCAGUUCAUCAUGUACCGGCCCCUGCUGCUGGCGGCCUUCCACUUCUCCAAUGCCGCCUCAAAGGGGAACACAUCCUCACAUCCGCCGUAAUGCACUGCACCCAUGUAAACAUAGCUCCGAAGUACAGCUGCCACUUGAGGGGAUGAUUGUCCUUCUUCUCCAGCCAUGCACCGUCACUCUGCCCCUUCACGACCCGCUGCAUCUGUGGUCGUGGCGUCUUUGCACCACGGAGUGUGGGGUUAGGAGUCUUAGCUGCAGUGCCGGGAUCGCUGCUGCCAUCGACCUCAACACCCGUGUUUCCUGGCCCAUCGCGGCUGUCUCCAUAUGAAGAACGUUGGCGUUUGGCCUGCUCGCUGUUGACAAUCGGAGUGGCAUCAUUGCCGUCGGCUGGCUGCAGCAUUGCGUCCACAUUGCCUACAACCUCUACACCAUCUUCAUUAAUGUCGCUAAUGGCUUCAGUGAAGUUUAAUAUCUGCUUUAAUGGCCUGCCACGCUUUGGGAGCUUCGGGUCCGAAUAUUUUAAAGUGUUUGGUCCGGUCAGAAACAGUCCGAUUCCUUGUUGACUUUCGGGCGUGACCUUCCCUACAGUAUCCAUGGCAUUAAAGUACUAAGAUAUAUCAUACAUGUUAACCAUAUAUAUGUUUAACAAGUAUGUCUCCUGUAAGAUUAAUCUUCUAGGGGCUAUAAGGAUAUUCUAGCGGCUUUGGCAUGGACAGUACUGUCCAUUUUCCAGGACUAGUCCUGGACUAGUCUAUUUUUGGCUGGAGGAAUGAACUUGUACGAUCGGAACAUAUGCAUUAUCUAUGCUUAAUUUUCAGGACCGCGAACAAUUUGUAUUCCGAUUUCGGAUAUAUUCCGCAAAACAAACGCUGCACAGUUAACAGUGAUAAGCGAUGCUGCGGUGGCCUGCAUGUGUGCAGUUCUAUCACCAGCUGCAGCUCUACCAGGACACGGGUCCUGUCCUGGUGAAGUAGCACUAUUUAAGAGCUGUAUUCCAGUCAGGUCAGGUCAUCACCGAAGACUUACCUGCAGUAGGCGGUACGGGUGGCGGGCUUUCUGGAGAUGGUGGCCAAAUGGUGCCUGCGAAUCAAAGGGGUUGACAACGACCGCUGGUGACUGUCCAAGAUAAUUCAUGAAAUGCAGCAGCAAAAGAAAUACAACACAGUAUAUAUCUACCAGGGCACUAUGUAGUAGCUAGCUGGCCGCUGGCCCCUGGCCGCUGGAAAGGCCUCUCCAGAUGUUAUAACAUAUUGGUUAAGCCCUUCACGCAUAUAAUUUGGUAGUCAAUAUGUGUGCAGUACUGUACCAGGUACAACACAUUUGGUACCUAUACGUCUGUAAGUUUACAGACUUUAAGAUUGUGGAGUGGCAAAUGCUUUCAGGCCGGUCUAUUAUACCAUGGCACGCGUCUAUUGUGCCAUCUAUAUACCAAUCGAUACAAUAAUUCUACCAAAAAUCCAUUCCUCGGUCCUUUUUGAUAUAUGAUUACCCUAUAUGUAGACCAUGAAACAUUUACCGAUGCGUUUGGUGAUACAGAUUACAGGUGCUAACCCAAGCAUUUCAUGUGCACACGCACCUGGAAUUUUUGUAUAAAAACAAAUUGAAGUAACAGUUCUUAAUGGGGCCACAGAGGACUUCAUCCAGCCGUUGGCAUUGAAGCCUGGACAUGCUGGCAACUUUGCACAGUCGGUAGCAGCUGCUGCAGCGGAACCAGAGUUGCUGAGGUCAUCCUUAUCGUGGUCGGUAUCCGGAAGUGCAAUGUAGCCAUAAAAACUUGGACAUGCUGUGGAAUCAGGAAAGGGAAGUGCCAAACAUUGUGUAUGACUCAUUAAGCUACCAAAAGGCAUUGAUGCUGGGAGUUUCUGCAAGGUGCAAUAAGUUGUACUUAUGCAUGAACUACUUACCUUGCAAUGUACACAUCCACACUUGCUAUUUAAAUUUAUUUACUAUUCUGGCCCUGUUCACUGCUGUAGCGGGAACAGGAACAGGAAAGGGCCUGCACAAGCUACGUCAUAUGCAUGUCACACUGCGGCACUACUUGGAAACAUAUUUAUUCUGUUACUUAAAAGCUUAUGAGUAGCACUUUAAGAGUGCCAGCAUAUAACACGUUCUCCUGGUGCUGCUCGGAAUGAGUACACCCCGGGACACAUCUUUAGUAAGUACACACAUUAUUAGUUCAGUCUGAGUGCUGGGGUGCAUGGUCCUGGACGUUCGCUACAGCGAAGGUUGUUGGAACAUGUAAUAUCUGGUGAUAACAGCGCCUAACCAGGUGCCGGUGAGAGUUUGUUAACCUAAACGCAGAUGCAGCUAACCACCACCGGAUAGAGGUACCUCUAUCGAUAUGAGCACUGUUUAGACAUGUUGCAGGCUGACCAUCCAAGGGAGGCCUUUUUGCAACACAGCUGACAUUUGUCACCCGUCACUGUUCAGUAUUGCCACGUGCUGAUGAAUGUGGUUCGUCGAUGUCUAUCUUUAAACGACCUCAAGCAAUGGAAAAUGGAACCAAGAAACCGUAACAGGCUGUCAUCUGGUGUAGAUAAAGGCCUCUCGAGAUGCUGGACUGGUCGAAUGCUUUGUGUGUAUUUGUAGAUUAUAUGCGUGCUGUACUGUGUACAAAAUACUACAUGUAUAAAUGUAUACAUUUGGUGAAAGUAAGACAUACUAAUCUUGUCUGUAUAUCCUGCCAGGAUAUCACUUAACCAGUAUUUUUUCAUUUUAGCCUGUCAAUUUUCCAGUCCGACCGGAGGAAUAGUUUUUUUGUCACGGGAAUAAAAGUGUUCCGAAUCUGUAAGGUGCUGGGGGGGCCUACACGGCCCCCAGGCCUAGGGGCCCCCCGAUGAGUUAUAGUUUAGUUCGUACAAACACAGGGUUCGGGGAAUGCCACAACACGCCCACACCACAAUCUCUCCAUAGAGGUGUCUAGACACCUGCAAGAGAUCUCUUGCAGGUGUCUAGACACCUCUAUCUAGAUCUCUUGCACGCCAGGAAGCGGGGCGCACACUUGGACGCUUUGACAGGAACCCCGAUUGCAUGGGUGACUGCUCUUGCAGAGCCCAACCAAACACAGACCAGUUAACCCCUACUCAAGCAAUGAUCGAAUAGAGUUCUUCACUAUCGUUCGUUUUGCAUCACAUUGAAAGAUAACACGGCACGACUUUCCAGAUUGCAACAGUCAUGAUGCAUAGCAGCAAUGAACCAGAACCGCCAAACGCAAUCUCUGCGGUUGGUUGCAGCCCCUGCUGUUGAUGCUGCACACUAGUUAGCAGUUCAUCAUGUACCGGCCCCUGCUGCUGGCGGCCUUCCACUUCUCCAGUGCCGCCUCAAAGGGGAACACAUCCUCACAUCCGCCGUAAUGCACUGCACCCAUGUAAACAUAGCUCCGAAGUACAGCUGCCACUUGAGGGGAUGAUUGUCCUUCUUCUCCAGCCAUGCACCGACACUCUGCCCCUUCACGACCCGCUGCAUCUGUGGUCGUGGCGUCUUUGCACCACGGAGUGUGGGGUUAGGAGUCUUAGCUGCAGCGCCGGGAUCGCUGCUGCCAUCGGCCUCAACACCCGUGUUUCCUGGCCCAUCGCGGUUGUCUCCAUAUGAAGAACGUUGGCGUUUGGCCUGCUCGCUGUUGACAAUCGGAGUGGCAUCAUUGCCGUCGGCUGGCUGCAGCAUUGCGUCCACAUUGCCUACAACCUCUACACCACCUUCAUUAAUGUCGCUAAUGGCUUCAGUGAAGUUUAAUAUCUGCUUUAAUGGCCUGCCACGCUUUGGGAGCUUCGGGUCCGAAUAUUUUGCAGUGUUUGGUCCGGUCAGAAACAGUCCGAUUCCUUGUUGACUUUCGGGCGUGACCUUCCUUACAGUAUCCAUGGCAUUAAAGUACUAAGAUAUAUCAUACAUGUUAACCAUAUAUAUGUUCAACAAGUAUGUCUCCUGUAAGAUAAAUCUUCUAGGGGCUAUAAGAAUAUUCUAGCGGCUUUGGCAUGGACAGUACUGUCCAUUUUCCAUGGCCAGGAAUAGUCCAUUUUUGGCUGGAGGAAUGAACUUGUACGAUCGGAACAUAUGCAUUAUCUAUGCUUAAUUUUCAGGACCGCGAACAAUUUGUAUUCCGAUUUCAGAUAUAUUCCGCAAAACAAACGCUGCACAGUUAACAGUGAUAAGCGAUGCUGCGGUGGCCUGCAUGUGUGCAGUUCUAUCACCAGCUGCAGCUCUACCAGGACACGGGUCCUGUCCUGGUGAAGUAGCACUAUUUAAGAGCUGUAUUCCAGUCAGGUCAGGUCAUCACCGAAGACUUACCUGCAGUAGGCGGUGGCGGGCUUUCUGGAGGUGGUGGCCAGAUGGUGCCUGCGAAUCAAAGGGGUUGACAACGACCGCUGGUGACUGUCCAAGAUAAUUCAUGAAAUGCAGCAGCAAAAGAAAUACAACACAGUAUAUAUCUACCAGGGCACUAUGUAGUAGCUAGCUGGCCGCUGGCCCCUGGCCGCUGGAAAGGCCUCUCCAGAUGUUAUAACAUAUUGGUUAAGCCCUUCAGGCAUAUAAUUUGUAGUCAAUAUGUGUGCAGUACUGUACCAGCUGGUACAACCUGCAGGUACAACACAGGUACUUUAGAAGUACGCAAGAGAGCACUUCGCCUGCUCUCUUGCGUACUUCUAAAGUGGCAAGUUGCAAGUCGCAAGUCGCAAGGAACACGCAAAAUUUCUAUUUGGUAUUCUAUGUACGCGAUUACGUACGUGUGCAUACUCAGUUUGUAGAGCGGAUUUCACAAUGGGAGAAGUAUUGAACCGUUACUACUACAGCAAACAAGUGCGCGAACGUGUUGCCACCGCUAUUUCGACGAAAAUUACACGCAAGCGCAUAUAGCUGAAGCUUUCGGGCACAGACCUUGCGAGAGGACUGUGCAUGCUAUCAUACAGUCCUACGUGGCGAAUGGCGAUGUCCUGCCGCUUAGAGGACAAACAGGAACACGCAAACCACACAAGUUUGAUGAGAUUGCUCCACAGACACUGGUGGAGCUGGUGCAGGCCGACGACCAAGCAUUGCUCUCCGAUCUGGCCACCGCUAUGACAAACUUACUGGGCACUCUUUGGAGCGGCCCUGAUAUUAGCCGUGCAUUGUCUGAGCUGGGUUACGUCCGCAAGAAGGUUUUUACCAGGGCAUUCGAGGCACGGGAAUCAGUUCAGCUGGCAUAUCACAAGCUUGUGUGACAAUUUGUUCAAAUGGCCCAGAAGCCUCCCACUCUGUAACAAUUCAAUUCAACUUCGUGAGCUUGUGCGUGAGCGUGUGUGUGUGUGUGUGUGUAUGUGUGUGUGUGUGUGUGUGUGUGUGUGUGUGUGUGUGUGUGUGUGUGUGUGUGUGUGCGUGUGUGUGUGUGCGUGUGUGUGUGUGCGUGUGCGUGUGUUGCAAGUACCGUAGCGGAACUAAAGGUUUUACAAAAUAAAUCAUUAUUUGCAUGCGGUAAAAUGUUUUGGCAAAAUUCAGAGUCUUUCUGUAAAAUCUUUAGUUCCCGGGAGGGAAUUUGGAGCGAUGCCGUAAAAUACAUAUGGCCCUUCACGCACAACAGGCUUAUGGCACUACCUCUUAUACUAUUUUAUACAGAAUAUUGUAACAUAUCACUAUAUCAACCUAUUCCUGGCAGCAGCAUGGGCAAGCACAAGCUCACCAAACACCGCUUCAUUGACAAGCUGCCGGCCAUACCAUACCAUAUACGGCAAUGCUCUCGCGUCCUUCAUCAAUCAUAAGAAUUCUGCGGCUGCUACAGAAUGGUGAAUGUUUGGAGGCCGUGUCACGGUGGCUUGGCUUCCAGAUGGGGGUUUACAAUUCGGAGAUUCUUAGUUUGUGCCCCUUAUGCGUGAGAGGGAGGCGGGCAGUGGUGUUGCACGGUUGGGUAGCUUUGCGGGACGGUAAAAUCCCAGGAAAUCAUCCACAGUACCGUAAAACCUUGGCAAAAUCCGCCAGCAUGCGGUAAAAUACUUCGUUCCGUAAAAUAUAUUAAAAUCCAUAAUUUUGCGGUAAAAUCUUUAUUUUGUAAAAUCUUUAGUUCCACUACGCGUAAGGUAUUUGACCGUGCCUGAAACUGGCCAGGGACUGCUGCCCAGCCCCAACAGAAAGACCACCUAAGCUCCUCCCGCAGACUGGAGAGGGGUGUAAGGGGCCUCUGUCCCUCCUAAGCAGCCGAGAACCGCGGGUCCACUAGUUCUGCUCUCCUCCCCUGGGGGUCAAGGCUCCGUCAUGCGAGUUUGAGCACUGAGCCUGAAACACACAAGAAGACUGGCUCUUGGGGUGAAGGUUCAAGAAGACCGAGGAAACCCGGAAACCCCUACCCCUCUCUAUUAAGGCACCAGGCCCUAAUAGAAAGCUCGGUCUCUCACCCGAUUCUCCGUUGCUUGCCCGCAAGGGGCAUGGGGGAGUGGGCAGGGUUCAUUGUUAACAAUUGUUAACGAACGUUCGUGCUGAAAUCCAUAAUGACCACCUGAAAUCGCUAUGCCCCAAUGUUUGCAUCAAAUGCUUAUAUGUUUCCGGUUAGGCUGUUGGGAGUUAGAGAUUAACCAACCUAACGGCCAUGAGUGCACAGCAUGCACCUGCAGGCUUUGUGACUGCGGGGCGGUUGAAGACGAAAUGCAUGUCUUUGUGGAAUGCCUGGCGUACAUUAGCACACGGGCGAACGUGACCUCAUGUUUCAAGGAUGCAACAUGUGCAUGAUAGUGACCGAGGCCCCACCCCUGGCACUAGCCAGGUUCCUCUCGGAAGUCUGGGAGACCCGGCGUGUUGCUGUAAGGCGCUCUGUGCUCAAGCAGACGAGGGUGGACUAUAAUGGUCCACCAUGUAACCACCCUAAAAACAAUUCACACCCAUGGGCCCCCCAGCUCUUACGGACACCCCCACACUUGUGUGGAACUUGUGUGGACUAGGCUGGUUCCUAUCAGUCCACCGCCGGGGCUAGGGAUGCCUCGAGGCAGUGUGGUUGUUACAGUGGGCUCCAGACUCACAAAGAGUACAGCGAGCGGGCCAGCAGGCCGUGCACUGCACCUGAUACAAUGAGGGCAAACAAGACUCCCACCCAGACCAGACAACGCAAGUCACCUAGACAUCCAAAAGCAAAUCCAAGGGCAGGCUCAGAACCCGCAACCACAGCAAUUAGACUCCCCAAUUGGCGAAAGUCCUCGGAACCCCACCAGAAGGCCCAUAAGCAAAUACUGUUAAGAACUUGAUGAGAUACAAUAAGCAAAUACUACAGCUACAUUGCAUUGCUCAGACAGCUACAUUGCACUGCUCAGACAGACGAAGCCACUUCAGCAUAGUUAACUAUGACGACGGGUGAUCGCGUUACGUCGCGUUAAAUUCGCGUUACGAGGCUUUAACGCGAGUUUAACGCGACGCUAACGCGAUGUAACGCGAUCUUAAGCACUGAUAACGCACCGGUUCGCUUGUGGGUAUGGCCUAACGCACAUCAUCUUUAUUCGCAUGCGAACGAGCUGAGUAAUUUUGGCUGGCAGUGCGUUAGCUUAAGCAACUAACGCAAACUAACGCAAACUUUACGCGAUCGUAAACGCGACCAGGUGACUUUUAACGCGAGCGUUACCUUACCUAUAGGUGUAACGCAUACGCAAGCGAAUGGCAUACGCGGCUGCGACUGGUGCGAAUGCGUAUGCAUAUGCGAAUGUGGCGAAUGAUAUCGCGAGUUUUACGCGACCCUAAACGCGACCAGGUGACUUUUAACGCGAGCGUUAGCUUAGCUAUAGGUGUAACGCAUACGCGGCUGCGACUGGUGCGAAUGCGUAUGCAUAUGCGAAUGUGGCGAAUGAUAUCGCGAGUUUUACGCGACCCUAAACGCGACCAGGUGACUUUUAACGCGAGCGUUAGCUUAGCUAUAGGUGUAACGCAUACGCGGCUGCGACUGGUGCGAAUGCGUAUGCAUAUGCGAAUGUGGCGAAUGAUAUCGCGAGUUUUACGCGACCCUAAACGCGACCAGGUGACUUUUAACGCGAGCGUUAGCUUAGCUAUAGGUGUAACGCAUACGCAUGCGAAUGCUGCGAAUGCGUAUGCACAUGCGAAUGUGGCGAAUAAUUUCGCGAGGUUUACGCGACCCUAAACGCGACCAGGUGACUUUUAACGCGAGCGUAUCGCCAAACGCAAGGGAUUGCGAAUGGCAUACGCGACUGCGAAUCCUGAGAAUGCAUGUGCUACCAUUUGAAUUUUACGCGAGUGGCUGCGACUUGCGUGCGGGACUGCGAACUGUACGGCCAACCGUGCAAUACAAAAGCUUUACAAUAGCAGUACACGAGCUGUACAAUGUGCAAAGUGCACCGCCGUUGCACAUGACCUGCAGGUUCACAGCUGUGAACCACAGCACUCACUGCUUUCUUCAUACAUUUGAACUAUCCCUGCAUGACAGGUACGAAUUCAUAGCAAAUCCUAACAUGACCGAUGCAACUCAGCCAGCAACUCUUACCAUGGAAAAGGGUCCAACAGUCUAACGUCAGAAAAAAUGGACACACAAAUGUUAAGCGCAUGUAAAUGUACCACAAUACAGCCACUAUUGUCUUCUUAUUAAAGCGCUCAAUCCUCGCCUCCGCUGAUGUCAUCUUCACGAACGAUGGCAUAUAUCUGCAUAUGAAAGGAUCACAACAAAUCAUUGUUUAGGCAGGAACACAUAGUUGUGAGCAUGUUACGUACAAUGACGGCUGUAGGUGUGACACCGGCAUAACGUGCCUCGAAAUAAGGCAAUAAAAAGCAUUUAGUUAAUAGCCAUGGUCUUGCAACCAGAGGCUUCAUACCUCCGAACACUACGUGGCCUGCCACGUCCCGUUUGAGCCCGACUCUUGUUCAUAUCCUUACCACCAUCCUUGCGCUUGUCCUAUUCCUUGCGAUUCUCCUGCUCGUGUCCUGUUAAUGUUAAAUGACAAGGCAUAAUGUCAGUGUAUGCACCUGCAUGAUGGCCACUUACUGCCGGUGCCGUCUAGUCCCCCUUUUCCUGCUUUCCCCUGCUUGCCUGCGAAUGAAUGCUGCGCCAUUAUAGAGGAAGAAAGACAGAUUCUUGUUAUGAAGAUGCUAAUUCAUUAGGCUUUACCUUACACUGUCGUCAUUGGAGGAUCAGCGUGAGUAUAAGCAAUGCAUACGCGCUAAACAACAAAUUCAAGAUAAUCUUAUUAGUGCAAUGCGCGCAAUGAAUUACUGCCCUGAGGACACGGGCAGCACUGGGCCUUACGCCCAACUUACUCCCAACUCCCAACUAACCCUCUUACUUAACGCAAGCUCGCAUAAGUUGUUGCGUCAGAGACAAAUGCCAAAGGAGAAGAUACCCCCUCUAACGGUUGAAAUACUGAACCACCACGGCGCUUCGUGCCGAGCCGCAAGAGGGCCAAAGACGUGAGAGCUGCCAGACAGGCGCGCACACCGAAACUCCCGAAGCCAAACGCCUCGAAAGACCUCCGAACGACACCCCAGCAGCAGGGGCGGCGGACGCGCCACCUCUACGCAGGCAAAAGAGGGAACAAAAUAAACGCAAAGCGCCAACAGACUGACCCACCGCCACCGACGCGACGGAUCACUCAACAGUUGCUGACGGACGCCCACUGAAGGAAGGGUCGAUAGGAAGCCAAAACAUGUGCCCGCUCAGGGGUGACCAAGCGGCCAAAACUAGGGGCUUGAUCUGAAACACCGGGUCUGCAACAAUGACCGCUCCACGAACCCAGGUCACCGACAGCAGAGAAAACGGACAAAGAAAAGACACAGACCUAAUACGACAAACAACAAACACAAGGCCGCGAAAUGGAGACACACGAACCCAUUCAGCGCCAAAAGAAGUACUCGAACUUAGUCCAGAACCAGCGGUGUUGGAACCGGCGGUACCAUCGGAUAUCAAGCAAAGCGAAACCACUCCGAAAUCAGGGGAAUUCCAGUCGCUGGUGACACAACACGAUGAAAAAACCAACUACCUGCACGGUGCCUUCCGAGUGCACACCUUCGCACAACAAAUUCCUUCCUAUUCGCUCGUCGUAACUGUGUGUCUGCUCCCCUGCACAAUAUGCAAUUAAGGCGCUACCUCAUUGAGGUCCCAUUGCCCCUACAAGAUAUUAUGAGCCCCCAGGGGGGGCAUGAAAUGCUAGGAAAGCGCACCUCGGGGGCACACGACCCCGCAAUUGCAGCGCCACACUGACCGACCGAGUGCUAAGCAAAGCACCCACAAGACGACUGCACCCGCACUGCCAGACCUGCCAGGAAGGGGGGGAGAUAGGUGCUCGACCCUCCCUCAUCCGGCACAAACAGCUCCGUAUUCGAAGGCAGGAACACAAGGUCAACCGCCAACUCCAUAAACUGUUGCCACCAAGGUUGGGCCGUCCAGUACGGCACGACUAGGAAAGACACCCUAGCACUGCUUGAGUGCACGUGUUUUCCACACUGAUUAAGACAACACGCUGCUGAAAGGACGGAAGAAAGGACUCUAAUGCAGGAUGGACAGCGUGCAACUCCUUCCAACUGACGUGCUCAUAGAGCUCUGGUGCCGACCAAUAACCGCGCGCCACACGAUCAUGCAGGACCGCGCCCCCCUCGCAUGGUGCUCUGUCGAUCUAAGUGACGCCCAGCACCGUGCGGCAGUGCACGAACUUGAUUUCACCCAGUGCCUUGGUGAGAAUGUCAGCCACCGUGUUGUUGGUAGUACAAUAGCUGAGCUUAACCUCACCGUGCACGGCCGUUUCACGCAUGAUGUGGUGGUGCACAUGGAUAUGCUUGGAGCGCACCAAGGUGAUGGGGUUGUUGCCGAGGCUGAGCGCGCCUUGUGAAUCCAGCUGGAUGUUGAUGGCGCCGGGUGACAGGUCCAGGUCGCCCGCCAGCUUGCGCAGCCACAUAGUGCCUCGUGCACGGCUGCUGCGGCGGCCUGGUACUCGGCCUCAAGGCAACCAAGGUGCGCUGCAACUGGCUGCUCCAGCUGACCGCUGCACUGCCGAGCAAGAAUGUGUAGCCCGUGGUGGACCGGCGGGUGGCUGGGUCGCCGGCCCAGUCCGCAUCACUGUACACGCCGAAGUUGCUGGUGUCGCUGCUGCUGUCGCCACGGUACCGCAGCCCGAGUGUGCAGGUGCCGGAUAGGUAGCGCAUCAUGCCCAGCACGAGGCCCAUGUGGGCCUUGGUGGGGACGGGCAUGUGUCACACGAGCAUGCUCAGAGUGUGUGUAAUGUCCGGGCGUGUGCUGGUGGCGAGGUAUUUCAGCUCGCCCACCAGCACACGGUAGCCGCUGCCAUCAAUCACUGUCGGCUGGGCGUCGCUGGCUGGCAGAGCACACAUGCCCUGAGGCAGCAGGGUGGCGCUCGACUUGGCAUUCUCCAGGCUGUGGCGCUGCAGCAGCUGCUCCACAUAGUGCUGCUGCGUGAGCACGAUGCAGUGGUUGUGGCCAUCCUGGACGAUCUUCAUGCCGAGGUAGUAGUGCGCCUCGCCAAGGUCACGCACUGUGAAGCAACCGGCGAUGGCUGCCUUGGUGGCCGCGACCACUUGCAGGUUGUCCGCCGUCACCAGCAUGUCGUUGGCAGUGUGCUCUGCACUGUUGCCUCCGCCACCGCCACUGCCAUCGGGCAUGUUAGACUUCGUGCUGUCAGCGCUACCACCUGAGCAGCGGUGGACUUCCCGACUCUCCGCCGCCGCCGCUGCUGCUGCUGUCAGGGGGGGGGCCGUCACUGACCGGGGCCAGCGGGAGUGUGCAGGGACUGCCGUUGACUGCGGGUGUUGGGGUGGAGGGGUGGUGUUGGAGUCACCGGGGGUGGGGUGGCCGCUGGGGUCGGCAGCUUGGUGGGCGGUGUAGAGCUGCCGAUGGUGUUGCUGCCGCCGGGGCAGGCGGGGCUAGUGCUGAAGGGGGUGCCCGCCCGUUGUGAACCGGGCUGUGGUGGUCCUCAUUGAAGGUGACAUCGCUGCUCAUGGUCACCUUGCCCUCAAUGAGGAUGCUGUGGGUGGCCAUGCCAUGCUCCGGUCGGCGGUAGGUUUCCGCCUUUGCACGAGGACCGAGUUUGUCCUGCUGGCUGGGUGGGAUGCGGACGUAGGCCAGGCGGCCGAAGGUGUGCAGGUGGCUGACGUCGGGGAGGAUGCCGUGAUAAGCUGCCCACGGUGUGGCCUCCCGGCCCUGAGAGGGGGAAACAUUGCGCAGGAGGUUGGUGUAGAGCACAGCCUCCGGCCUGUAGCUGCCCGGGAGUGCUGCGUCGUGCAGCAUCGUCCGCACAUGGCCGAGGAGCAUGUGGUUGAGUCACUCCACCGCUCCGCUCUGCUCCGGGGUGUAUGACGCCGAGUGGUUGUGCACGGUGCCGUGCUGGCACAGCCACUGCCGCAGUUGCUCGGUGAUGUACUCACCGCGUUUGUCGCUGUGCAGCAUGUGCACCCGUGCAUGGUUCAGGUGGUGGGCCUCCAGCUGCGUCACCAUGUCCUGCAGCACUUCACCCACUUGGCUCUUGCUUGCCAGCGUGCGGACGGUGGACAGACUGGUGGCACCGUCCAGCAGCAUCAGCAAGUAGCGUGCGCCCCCUCGGCCCAUGGUCGGCAUGGGCCCGCACAGGUCAGAGUGUACGACCUCCAGUGCAUGCUGCGGCCGGUUGCUGCGGCUGGGAUGGGCGGUUACGGUGGCCUUCAUGGUGACACAGGCCUCGCAGACGGUCUCCGCCGCCUGGUGCAGUGCCGCUGGAGUUACCUGUGGUCCGUGCACCAGGUGCUUGCUGAUCAGCUGCUCCAGCACGCGGUAACCAAGGUGACAGUAAUGGCGGUGCUGCCAGUGUGCUGCCGUGAGUUCGGCGACUGAGCAUUCGGCGGCCCCGGGGCUGCCGUUGCCUGGUUGCCCUUUGCUGUUGCUGUCACCGUCCGGCUGGCCUCCACCGGUGUGGCUGCCGGCGGUGCUGCCGCCACGGGCGCUGGAGACAGCGGCGGCACUUCCGCCAGCACUUCUAACUGCGGCCUGGCCCCCACCGGCUCUGUCGCCCACGGUGCCGAGGGCAUUGACGGUGACGUCGGUCGGUGCCUGCAGGUCCACGUCCAUGUGUAGUGCCCACGCUCAUUCCAUGCGGUGAUAGACGGGCUGUUGCGAGGGAGGCCGAUGCAUGAGAACCAGCAGCCCGUCUUGUCCAUGCUGAAUGUGACUGAGCAGCUGCGUGUCACGAGAAGGUUGACAGAUGUUAGGAUGAGGCCCGAGCUGGGGACGUGCAGCAUGUUGUGCAGCCGGACAUUGUGUCCAUCACGUGUACGCAGGUGCAGCUGCACUGUUCCCAUGACAUCGGCCAGCUGGUUGUGGCCCCACUCGAUCAGCCGUGGCGCGCCGGCGGGGACGUGGUUGUGCAGCAGGGAGUGGUCACCCGUGAGGUGGUACGGUGAGCCUGAGUCGAGGAUGACUCGUGAGCUGCUGCCACUGCCGUCGAUGACCAGCACUGUGGCACGGCUCUGGCGUGAGCUGCUUCUGCUGCUGUCCGAGCCGCUGCCACUGCUGCCGCCUGCAGUGUCGCCACCGUUGCGGUGGCUGUUGCCGCAUCGAGCACGGCCGCAUUCACAUGCUCCGUCGGCCCCGCUGUUACUACCAUUGCCGCUGCCAGUGUCCCUGCCGCCGCCGUCACAGUGGCGGUUGCGGCUGCCUCAACUGAUGUUGCCGGCGGCGUGCAGCUGCUCGAAUGCGUUGCUGUGGUGAAGGCCGACGGACUCGUCCGCCUGCUUAACGGGGCACUCGCAGAUGUAGUAACCAGGCUGUCCGCAGUAGCGGCAGGUGUCGCCGGCCCCCACGGCGCCUGCAGCACUGGCGGUGCUGCCGACUCCACUGGGGGCACGGCCAGGGCCGACAGCUCCCACCAGGCUGGUCUUGCUUGCUUGGGUCUUGAGGUUGUUGUCCUUCUCCCGCAGCAUGAGCACGAGCUGUUGGGUCGUUAAGUUGGGCUGAUACAUCGUGAACUCGAUGGUGAUGGCGUACUGCGGAGGCAGGCCAUGGAGAAUGGCGUGGCGCACCGUGCUCUCGUCCCACUGGCCGCCGGCCACAAUUAUAUCGCUACGGAGCUGCUCUGCCCGCUAAAUGAAGUCAGCGGUUGUCUCCCCAUCGCGCAUGUUCAGCUGCAUCUGCGGCUCAACCAGGCUCAGCCGGGCCUGGGAUGCAGAACGGAACUGUUGCUGUAAGAGCUGCAUGGCGGCGAGACCGGUUGGGCAAUUCAUGAGCAACUGCUUGAUGGGCAGUUCACAGGACAGACGCAGGUAGCUGAGCGCCUGUGCGUCCUCCUCCAGGGCGUCUUGGGAGUUGCGGCUCGGAGGCGACGGGUUGUUGAUGUAGCUCUUCAACUUGGACGUUGCGAGGAAAUCGCCUAACUCGCCGAGCCAGUGGGAGUAGUUCGACCCAUCCCAGANNNNNNNNNNNNNNNNNNNNNNNNNNNNNNNNNNNNNNNNNNNNNNNNNNCCAGGCGGCCGAAGGUGUGCAGGUGGCUGACGUCGGGGAGGAUGCCGUGAUAAGCUGCCCACGGUGUGGCCUCCCGGCCCUGAGAGGGGGAAACAUUGCGCAGGAGGUUGGUGUAGAGCACAGCCUCCGGCCUGUAGCUGCCCGGGAGUGCUGCGUCGUGCAGCAUCGUCCGCACAUGGCCGAGGAGCAUGUGGUUGAGUCACUCCACCGCUCCGCUCUGCUCCGGGGUGUAUGACGCCGAGUGGUUGUGCACGGUGCCGUGCUGGCACAGCCACUGCCGCAGUUGCUCGGUGAUGUACUCACCGCGUUUGUCGCUGUGCAGCAUGUGCACCCGUGCAUGGUUCAGGUGGUGGGCCUCCAGCUGCGUCACCAUGUCCUGCAGCACUUCACCCACUUGGCUCUUGCUUGCCAGCGUGCGGACGGUGGACAGACUGGUGGCACCGUCCAGCAGCAUCAGCAAGUAGCGUGCGCCCCCUCGGCCCAUGGUCGGCAUGGGCCCGCACAGGUCAGAGUGUACGACCUCCAGUGCAUGCUGCGGCCGGUUGCUGCGGCUGGGAUGGGCGGUUACGGUGGCCUUCAUGGUGACACAGGCCUCGCAGACGGUCUCCGCCGCCUGGUGCAGUGCCGCUGGAGUUACCUGUGGUCCGUGCACCAGGUGCUUGCUGAUCAGCUGCUCCAGCACGCGGUAACCAAGGUGACAGUAAUGGCGGUGCUGCCAGUGUGCUGCCGUGAGUUCGGCGACUGAGCAUUCGGCGGCCCCGGGGCUGCCGUUGCCUGGUUGCCCUUUGCUGUUGCUGUCACCGUCCGGCUGGCCUCCACCGGUGUGGCUGCCGGCGGUGCUGCCGCCACGGGCGCUGGAGACAGCGGCGGCACUUCCGCCAGCACUUCUAACUGCGGCCUGGCCCCCACCGGCUCUGUCGCCCACGGUGCCGAGGGCAUUGACGGUGACGUCGGUCGGUGCCUGCAGGUCCACGUCCAUGUGUAGUGCCCACGCUCAUUCCAUGCGGUGAUAGACGGGCUGUUGCGAGGGAGGCCGAUGCAUGAGAACCAGCAGCCCGUCUUGUCCAUGCUGAAUGUGACUGAGCAGCUGCGUGUCACGAGAAGGUUGACAGAUGUUAGGAUGAGGCCCGAGCUGGGGACGUGCAGCAUGUUGUGCAGCCGGACAUUGUGUCCAUCACGUGUACGCAGGUGCAGCUGCACUGUUCCCAUGACAUCGGCCAGCUGGUUGUGGCCCCACUCGAUCAGCCGUGGCGCGCCGGCGGGGACGUGGUUGUGCAGCAGGGAGUGGUCACCCGUGAGGUGGUACGGUGAGCNUGAGUCGAGGAUGACUCGUGAGCUGCUGCCACUGCCGUCGAUGACCAGCACUGUGGCACGGCUCUGGCGUGAGCUGCUUCUGCUGCUGUCCGAGCCGCUGCCACUGCUGCCGCCUGCAGUGUCGCCACCGUUGCGGUGGCUGUUGCCGCAUCGAGCACGGCCGCAUUCACAUGCUCCGUCGGCCCCGCUGUUACUACCAUUGCCGCUGCCAGUGUCCCUGCCGCCGCCGUCACAGUGGCGGUUGCGGCUGCCUCAACUGAUGUUGCCGGCGGCGUGCAGCUGCUCGAAUGCGUUGCUGUGGUGAAGGCCGACGGACUCGUCCGCCUGCUUAACGGGGCACUCGCAGAUGUAGUAACCAGGCUGUCCGCAGUAGCGGCAGGUGUCGCCGGCCCCCACGGCGCCUGCAGCACUGGCGGUGCUGCCGACUCCACUGGGGGCACGGCCAGGGCCGACAGCUCCCACCAGGCUGGUCUUGCUUGCUUGGGUCUUGAGGUUGUUGUCCUUCUCCCGCAGCAUGAGCACGAGCUGUUGGGUCGUUAAGUUGGGCUGAUACAUCGUGAACUCGAUGGUGAUGGCGUACUGCGGAGGCAGGCCAUGGAGAAUGGCGUGGCGCACCGUGCUCUCGUCCCACUGGCCGCCGGCCACAAUUAUAUCGCUACGGAGCUGCUCUGCCCGCUAAAUGAAGUCAGCGGUUGUCUCCCCAUCGCGCAUGUUCAGCUGCAUCUGCGGCUCAACCAGGCUCAGCCGGGCCUGGGAUGCAGAACGGAACUGUUGCUGUAAGAGCUGCAUGGCGGCGAGACCGGUUGGGCAAUUCAUGAGCAACUGCUUGAUGGGCAGUUCACAGGACAGACGCAGGUAGCUGAGCGCCUGUGCGUCCUCCUCCAGGGCGUCUUGGGAGUUGCGGCUCGGAGGCGACGGGUUGUUGAUGUAGCUCUUCAACUUGGACGUUGCGAGGAAAUCGCCUAACUCGCCGAGCCAGUGGGAGUAGUUCGACCCAUCCCAGAGGAUGACGGUCUUACAUCCCUUCCCCAUGAUGGUUGGCUAGCGAGCGUGACUGAUGAAGACGCGUUCCCCGCCGCUUUCUGGCAACUAGAAAUGUUAUGAUGUAUCGUUGGUCCGGCGUACGACGGCGCCUGGUGCGAUUUAUGCGCCCGGAAGCCCUUUCAGCCUCCAGGCAUGUCCCCACCUGCCUCACAGCCGCCGACGCAUCUCACGGCGGGGUUCUAAUUGCGUGCGCGUAUGGAUGCUCCUUAACCCACCGCCUUUCGAACAACUAGAAAUGUUAUGAUGUAUCGUUGGUCCGGCGUACGACGGCGCCUGGUGCGAUUUAUGCGCCCGGAAGCCCUUUCAGCCUCCAGGCAUGUCCCCACCUGCCUCACAGCCACCGACGCAUCUCACGGCGGGGUUCUAAUGAGGUGCGCGUAUGGAUGCUCCUUAACCCACCGCCUUUCGAACAACUAGAAAUGUUAUGAUGUAUCGUUGGUCCGGCGUACGACGGCGCCUGGUGCGAUUUAUGCGCCCGGAAGCCCUUUCAGCCUCCAGGCAUGUCCCCACCUGCCUCACAGCCACCGACGCAUCUCACGGCGGGGUUCUAAUGAGGUGCGCGUAUGGAUGCUCCUAUUCCACCGCCUUUCGAACAACUAGAAAUGUUAUGAUGUAUCGUUGGUCCGGCGUACGACGGCGCCUGGUGCGAUUUAUGCGCCCGGAAGCCCUUUCAGCCUCCAGGCAUGUCCCCACCUGCCUCACAGCCACCGACGCAUCUCACGGCGGGGUUCUAAUGAGGUGCGCGUAUGGAUGCUCCUAUUCCACCGCCUUUCGAACAACUAGAAAUGUUAUGAUGUAUCGUUGGUCCGGCGUACGACGGCGCCUGGUGCGAUUUAUGCGCCCGGAAGCCCUUUCAGCCUCCAGGCAUGUCCCCACCUGCCUCACAGCCACCGACGCAUCUCACGGCGGGGUUCUAAUUGCGUGCGCGUAUGGAUGCUCCUAUUCCUGCCGCCUUUCUAGCAACUAGUUAUGUUAUUAUGCAUCGUUGGUCCGGCGUACGACGGCGCCUGGUGCGAUUUAUGCGUCCGGAAGCCCUUUCAGCCUCACAGGCAUGUCCCCACCUGCCUCACAGCCGCUGACGCAUCUCACGGCGGGGGUCUAAUUGCGUGCGCGUAUGGAUGCUCCUAUUCCUGCCGCCUUUCUAACAGCUAGUUACUGUUAUGAUGCAUCGUUGGUCCGGCGUACGACGGCGCCUGGUGCGAUUUAUGCGUCCGGAAGCCCUUUCAGCCUCACAGGCAUGUCCCCACCUGCCUCACAGCCGCCGACGCAUCUCACGGCGGGGGUCUAAUUGCGUGCGCGUAUGGAUGCUCCUAUUCCUGCCGCCUUUCUAGCAACUAGUUAUGUUAUGAUGCAUCGUUGGUCCGGCGUACGACGGCGCCUGGUGCGAUUUAUGCGCCCGGAAGCCCUUUCAGCCUCCAGGCAUGUCCCCACCUGCCUCACAGCCACCGACGCAUCUCACGGCGGGGUUCUAAUUGCGUGCGCGUAUGGAUGCUCCUAUUCCACCGCCUUUCGAACAACUAGAAAUGUUAUGAUGUAUCGUUGGUCCGGCGUACGACGGCGCCUGGUGCGAUUUAUGCGCCCGGAAGCCCUUUCAGCCUCCAGGCAUGUCCCCACCUGCCUCACAGCCACCGACGCAUCUCACGGCGGGGUUCUAAUGAGGUGCGCGUAUGGAUGCUCCUUAACCCACCGCCUUUCGAACAACUAGAAAUGUUAUGAUGUAUCGUUGGUCCGGCGUACGACGGCGCCUGGUGCGAUUUAUGCGCCCGGAAGCCCUUUCAGCCUCCAGGCAUGUCCCCACCUGCCUCACAGCCACCGACGCAUCUCACGGCGGGGUUCUAAUUGCGUGCGCGUAUGGAUGCUCCUAUUCCUGCCGCCUUUCUAGCAACUAGUUAUGUUAUUAUGCAUCGUUGGUCCGGCGUACGACGGCGCCUGGUGCGAUUUAUGCGUCCGGAAGCCCUUUCAGCCUCACAGGCAUGUCCCCACCUGCCUCACAGCCGCUGACGCAUCUCACGGCGGGGGUCUAAUGAGGUGCGCGUAUGGAUGCUCCUAUUCCUGCCGCCUUUCUAACAGCUAGUUACUGUUAUGAUGCAUCGUUGGUCCGGCGUACGACGGCGCCUGGUGCGAUUUAUGCGUCCGGAAGCCCUUUCAGCCUCACAGGCAUGUCCCCACCUGCCUCACAGCCGCCGACGCAUCUCACGGCGGGGGUCUAAUUGCGUGCGCGUAUGGAUGCUCCUAUUCCUGCCGCCUUUCUAGCAACUAGUUAUGUUAUGAUGCAUCGUUGGUCCGGCGUACGACGGCGCCUGGUGCGAUUUAUGCGCCCGGAAGCCCUUUCAGCCUCCAGGCAUGUCCCCACCUGCCUCACAGCCACCGAC
RNAcentral lists this long non-coding RNA (35398 nucleotides) under Volvox carteri. RNAcentral describes it as "long non-coding RNA (VCAR_LNC003198)". Lineage: Eukaryota; Viridiplantae; Chlorophyta; Chlorophyceae; Chlamydomonadales; Volvocaceae. The record is from RNAcentral.